GAUCGGGGCCCCACUCCCUGACGGCAGACGGGUGAUUAACACGUGCCUCAAUCUUCCCGAUAGUGGGGGACAACUAGCCGAAAGGUUAGCUAAUACCGCAUACGAUCUUCGAGCGGCAUCGUUUGAAGAUGAAAGGAGCACUCCGCUUUCGGACGGGACUGCGUCCCAUUAGCUAGAUGGUGGGGUAAUGGCCUACCAUGGCGACGAUGGGUAGCUGGUUUGAGAUAGCGACCUGCCACACUGGGACUGAUAAACGGCCCAGACUCCUACUGGAGGCAUCAGUGAGGAAUUUUCCGCAAUGGGCGAAAGCCUGACUGAGCGACUCCGUGUGUGGGAAGAAUGCCUUCGGGUCGUAAACCACUGUCGAAGGGGACGAUAAUGACGGUACCCUUGGAGGAAGCCCCGGCUAACUACGUGCCAGCAGCCGCGGUAA
RNAcentral lists this ribosomal RNA (433 nucleotides) under uncultured bacterium. RNAcentral describes it as "bacterial SSU rRNA". It matches the Rfam family "Bacterial small subunit ribosomal RNA", at positions 71 to 523 of the family's 1533-position model. The record is from RNAcentral.